RNAcentral lists this ribosomal RNA (462 nucleotides) under uncultured bacterium. RNAcentral describes it as "bacterial SSU rRNA". It matches the Rfam family "Bacterial small subunit ribosomal RNA", at positions 355 to 831 of the family's 1533-position model. The record is from RNAcentral.
UGGGGAAUCUUGGACAAUGGGGGCAACCCUGAUCCAGCCAUGCCGCGUGAGUGAUGAAGGCCUUAGGGUCGUAAAGCUCUUUCGCCUGUGAAGAUAAUGACGGUAGCAGGUAAAGAAACCCCGGCUAACUCCGUGCCAGCAGCCGCGGUAAUACGGAGGGGGUUAGCGUUGUUCGGAAUUACUGGGCGUAAAGCGCACGUAGGCGGACCAGAAAGUUGGGGGUGAAAUCCCGGGGGCUCAACCCCGGAACUGCCUCCAAAACUAUUGGUCUAGAGUUCGAGAGAGGUGAGUGGAAUUCCAAGUGUAGAGGUGAAAUUCGUAGAUAUUUGGAGGAACACCAGUGGCGAAGGCGGCUCACUGGCUCGAUACUGACGCUGAGGUGCGAAAGUGUGGGGAGCAAACAGGAUUAGAUACCCUGGGUAGUCCACACCGUAAAACGAUGAAUGCCAGUCGUCGGGUAGC